This 133-nucleotide ribosomal RNA is filed under the name uncultured bacterium. RNAcentral's name for it is "partial 16S ribosomal RNA". The record is from RNAcentral.
CGUAGUUAGCCGUGGCUUAUUCAUUGGGUACCGUCCUUUUUCUCGUCCCAAUAAAAGAGCUUUACAACCCGAAAGCCUUCAUCACUCACGCGGCGUUGCUGCAUCAGGGUUUCCCCCAUUGUGCAAGAUUCCU